ACGAACGCUGGCGGCGUGGAUAAGACAUGCAAGUCGAACGGAGAUUGCUGAGCUUGCUUGGCAAUUUGAGUGGCGAACGGGUGAGUAACACGUGAGCAACCUGCCGAAAAGAAGGGGAUAGCUCGGGGAAACUCGAAUUAAUACCGUAUAACGUUUAUCAGGGAUCCUGGUGGAACGAAAGGUGCCUUUAGGGGUGCCGCUUUUCGAUGGGCUCGCGGCCUAUCAGCUUGUUGGUGGGGUAAUGGCCUACCAAGGCGGCGACGGGUAGCCGGCCUGAGAGGGCGACCGGCCACACUGGGACUGAGACACGGCCCAGACUCCUACGGGAGGCAGCAGUGGGGAAUAUUGCACAAUGGGCGGAAGCCUGAUGCAGCGACGCCGCGUGAGGGAUGACGGCCUUCGGGUUGUAAACCUCUUUCGACCCUGACGAAGCGUGAGUGACGGUAGGGGGAGAAGAAGCACCGGCCAACUACGUGCCAGCAGCCGCGGUAAGACGUAGGGUGCGAGCGUUGUCCGGAUUUAUUGGGCGUAAAGAGCUCGUAGGCGGCUCGUCGCGUCGACCGUGAAAACCCGCGGCUUAACUGCGGGCUUGCGGUUGAUACGGGCGGGCUAGAGUUCGGUAGGGGAGACUGGAAUUCCUGGUGUAGCGGUGAAAUGCGCAGAUAUCAGGAGGAACACCGGUGGCGAAGGCGGGUCUCUGGGCCGAUACUGACGCUGAGGAGCGAAAGCGUGGGGAGCGAACAGGAUUAGAUACCCUGGUAGUCCACGCUGUAAACGUUGGGCGCUAGGUGUGGGGGGCCUCUCCGGUUCUCUGUGCCGCAGCUAACGCAUUAAGCGCCCCGCCUGGGGAGUACGGCCGCAAGGCUAAAACUCAAAGGAAUUGACGGGGGCCCGCACAAGCGGCGGAGCAUGCGGAUUAAUUCGAUGCAACGCGAAGAACCUUACCUGGGUUUGACAUGGCCGCUAAAGCCGCAGAGAUGUGGUGUCCUUCGGGGGCGGUCACAGGUGGUGCAUGGCUGUCGUCAGCUCGUGUCGUGAGAUGUUGGGUUAAGUCCCGCAACGAGCGCAACCCUUAUCCGAUGUUGCCAGCGGGUUAUGCCGGGGACUCAUCGGAGACUGCCGGGGUCAACUCGGAGGAAGGUGGGGAUGACGUCAAGUCAUCAUGCCCCUUAUGUCCAGGGCUUCACGCAUGCUACAAUGGCCGGUACAAAGGGCUGCGAUACCGUGAGGUGGAGCGAAUCCCAAAAAGCCGGUCUCAGUUCGGAUCGGGGUCUGCAACUCGACCCCGUGAAGUCGGAGUCGCUAGUAAUCGCAGAUCAGCAACGCUGCGGUGAAUACGUUCCCGGGCCUUGCACACACCGC
This 1362-nucleotide ribosomal RNA is filed under the name uncultured bacterium. RNAcentral describes it as "bacterial SSU rRNA". It matches the Rfam family "Bacterial small subunit ribosomal RNA", at positions 29 to 1393 of the family's 1533-position model. The record is from RNAcentral.